AUUGAACGCUGGCGGCGUGCUUAACACAUGCAAGUCGUGCGGUAACAGGCGUAGCAAUACGUGCUGACGAGCGGCGAACGGGUGCGUAAUACAUGGGAAUCUGCCCUUUAGUGGGGAAUAACCCGGCGAAAGCCGGGCUAAUGCCGCAUAAGAUCUUCGGAUGAAAGGCGGGGGAUCGUAAGACCUCGCGCUGAUGGACUGAGCCCAUGUCGGAUUUAGCGUUAGNGGUGAGGUAACGGCUCACCAAGGCGACGAUCCGUAGCUGGUCUGAGAGGACGGCCAGCCACACUGGGACUGAGACACGGCCCAGACU
This 313-nucleotide ribosomal RNA is filed under the name uncultured bacterium. Its description in RNAcentral is "bacterial SSU rRNA". It matches the Rfam family "Bacterial small subunit ribosomal RNA", at positions 30 to 337 of the family's 1533-position model. The record is from RNAcentral.